RNAcentral lists this ribosomal RNA (549 nucleotides) under uncultured bacterium. Its description in RNAcentral is "bacterial SSU rRNA". It matches the Rfam family "Bacterial small subunit ribosomal RNA", at positions 367 to 917 of the family's 1533-position model. The record is from RNAcentral.
UUCNNUGCCCGAAGGGUGAUGCAGCAACGCCGCGUGAGGGAUGAAGGCCUUCGGGUCGUAAACCUCUUUCGAUCGGGAAAAAUGGGCUGGUGAAGAGCCAGUUCUGAUGGUACCGGAUGAAGAAGCCCCGGCUAACUACGUGCCAGCAGCCGCGGUAAUACGUAGGGGGCGAGCGUUGUUCGGAAUUACUGGGCGUAAAGGGCGUGUAGGCGGUGCGGUAAGUUGGGCGUGAAAUCCCCGAGCUUAACUCGGGUGGGCCGUUCAAGACUGCCGUGCUAGGGUGCGGGAGAGGGAAGUGGAAUUUCCGGUGUAGCGGUGAAAUGCGUAGAUAUCGGGAGGAACACCUGCGGCGAAGGCGGCUUCCUGGACCGUAACCGACGCUGAGGCGCGAAAGCUAGGGGAGCAAACAGGAUUAGAUACCCUGGUAGUCCUAGCCCUAAACGAUGAGCACUGGGUGUGGCCCCUCACGGGGCCGUGCCGAAGCUAACGCAUUAAGUGCUCCGCCUGGGGAGUACGGUCGCAAGGCUGAAACUCAAAAAAAUUGACGGA